Molecule: long non-coding RNA, 1184 nt
Organism: Astatotilapia calliptera (eastern happy)
Lineage: Eukaryota; Metazoa; Chordata; Actinopteri; Cichliformes; Cichlidae
Source: Ensembl
UAGCAACGUUAAAUCUCGUGAAACCACGCGUGAUUUCAUCUCGCGGGCUUUGGAUCGUGGUUUAAAAAAUGCAUCCAUCUCAGUCAAGUCGAGCAGCCAACUCUACGUUUUUUGAUGACCUCUAUUCUGCAUUUCACCAGGAGUCAGCUGAUGGAUUGUGGGUUCAAGGUGUUAUGAUGAAAUGCAGCAUUCCAGUGCAUCCCAACCAUGCCUUUACAGUCAAGGUUUCUGACGGAGCUGAGUUUCUCUCUGACAGUCUGCUGAAAGUGUUUGCAAAGUGAUCGGGGGAACAGGGCACAAAGCUAAAGGAUGUAGCUGCCAUGAUGACAGAUGACAUUAAUGCUCGAAGGGAGUCUCAUCAAAGUGCUCCGCAUCUGUGUGAAAGACAAUUGCAACAUCUUGGUGCAGGAGUUCAUGGACUUGACUGAGGCCACUGCACAGAUUGAGAAAACCACAAUGAACAUCUGUCUCCAGAGGAUGCACCAGGCAAUGACUUUUCUGAUGUUGGCAUCAUCAUCGAGGGUAUAGUAGUUCUUCAAGAUCUGGAUAACGUGACCUUUGCAGUAGCCAUGCUGUUUGGACCUUUUUUAUUCCUUCAAUAUGAGUUACCCAUCACAACUCUGCUACACUUUUGAGGUGAUUCAAAGGGUGGUAAUGGAGUUGGAUGCAACUCAGCUCUCAAGAAAAACUCACAACUAAGACAAAACUGCUCCUGCAAUGAAGCUCACUGUUAUGCAUGCAAGCUGAUCAGCUCUAGGUGAGAGGACAUUUAAAUCUCACACUUGUUCUGCUGCAUUUUUGAAGCUCAAUUCCAUGAACAGAUCGCAGGGUUCAUUUUUAUAUACUCUGCAACUGCCAUGAGGACGAGCCGUUUUUGUUGUUGUUGUUUGUUUUUCCUUUUGCUCUGUACAGCAUUUUGGCAGCAUUUUUAAAUUUCUCUUUGUAUUUUUUCUUUCUUUUACUAGUGAAGAGAUGUAGCAUGAACAGUUAUGCAGUCUAAAUAUCCCAUAUGGGUCGUGUGAAAUGUUAUUUUCAGUUUCAUUCAGUUGAAGUAAAGAACGUUGAAUAUUUCUAAGUGUGCUGUUUUGAACCAAGAUGUCACAGUAUGAUCAGUGCUGUAAUUUUUGACAGUCACUGUAUCAAUGUUAUUUUUGCAUCUCUUGAAUAAAGGUUUUGACCUGCAA